GAGAGAAUGGGAGAUUUAUGUCUGAUGGCUCGCUAUGCGCUACUUACGGGCAGUUACGAGGACAGAAGAUUUGAGAUUUGCCCGUGCAGGCAGUACAGCGCGCGAUCACCCGGCUCGCCGAGUCGCCGUCAGGUUCUCCACCUUCCGCAUCACCGGAUCAGAGCGACGCACGCGGCGCGUCAAACACCACCGUGACGACGCCUGAGC
Molecule: long non-coding RNA, 207 nt
Filed under: Setaria italica (foxtail millet)
Lineage: Eukaryota; Viridiplantae; Streptophyta; Magnoliopsida; Poales; Poaceae
Description: long non-coding RNA (SITA_LNC001709)
Source: RNAcentral